Molecule: ribosomal RNA, 1526 nt
Filed under: uncultured bacterium
Lineage: Bacteria
Description: bacterial SSU rRNA
Rfam family: Bacterial small subunit ribosomal RNA
Source: RNAcentral
AGAGUUUGAUCCUGGCUCAGAACGAACGCUGGCGGCGUGGAUAAGACAUGCAAGUCGAACGAGACAAGAGCUUAGCUUGCUUUGCUUGAGUUAAGUGGCGAACGGGUGAGUAACACGUGAGCAACCUGCCCAGAAGCAGGGGAUAGCCCACCGAAAGGUGGAUUAAUACCGUAUGUGAUUGUCGGGGGAUUCCCCGACGUAUCAAAGGUGGGGAUCUUCGGACCUGCCGCUUCUGGAUGGGCUCGCGGCCUAUCAGCUUGUUGGUGAGGUAACGGCUCACCAAGGCUACGACGGGUAGCUGGUCUGAGAGGAUGAUCAGUCACACUGGAACUGAGACACGGUCCAGACACCUACGGGUGGCAGCAGUCGAGAAUCAUUCGCAAUGGGGGAAACCCUGACGGUGCGACGCCGCGUGGAGGAUGACGGCCCUAGGGUUGUAAACUCCUGUCAUCGGGGAGUAAGGCUCAUUGUUUAAUAGAUGAUGAGAUUGAUAGUACCCGAAGAGGAAGAGACGGCUAACUCUGUGCCAGCAGCCGCGGUAAUACAGAGGUCUCAAGCGUUGUUCGGAAUCACUGGGCGUAAAGCGUAUGUAGGCUGUACGGUAAGUCAGAUGUGAAAGCCCAGGGCUCAACCCUGGAACUGCAUCCGAUACUGCCAUACUAGAGUAGUGGAGGGGUAUAUGGAAUUCACGGUGUAGCAGUGAAAUGCGUAGAUAUCGUGAGGAACACUGGCGGCGAAAGGCGAUAUACUGGACACUUACUGACGCUGAGAUACGAAGGCUAGGGUAGCGAAAGGGAUUAGAUACCCCUGUAGUCCUAGCAGUAAACGGUGCACGUUUGGUGUGGGGCGGUUCGACCCGCUCCGUGCCGGAGCUAACGCGUUAAACGUGCCGCCUGGGGAGUACGGUCGCAAGACUAAAACUCAAAGAAAUUGACGGGGACCCGCACAAGCGGUGGAGUAUGUGGCUUAAUUCGAUGCAACGCGAAGAACCUUACCUGGGCUUGACAUGUAUGUCGUAGUUCAUCGAAAGAUGGACGUCGGUUCGGCCGGACUUACACAGGUGCUGCAUGGCUGUCGUCAGCUCGUGUCGUGAGAUGUUGGGUUAAGUCCCGCAACGAGCGCAACCCCUGUGAAUAGUUGCCAGCGCGUAAUGGCGGGGACUCUAUUCAGACUGCCGGUUUCAAACCGGAGGAAGGUGGGGAUGACGUCAAGUCAGUAUGGCCCUUACGCCCAGGGCUGCACACGUACUACAAUGCCCAGUACAAUGUGAACCGAGACCGCAAGGUGGAGGAAAUCCUUAAAGCUGGGCCCAGUUCGGAUUGGGGGCUGCAACUCGCCCCCAUGAAGUUGGAAUCGCUAGUAAUGCCGUAUCAGCUACGACGGCGUGAAUACGUUCCCGGGUCUUGUACACACCGCCCGUCACAUCAUGGAGGCCGGCCGCACCCGAAGUGCGUGCGCUAACUUUUAGAAGCAGCGCCCUAAGGUGUAGCUGGUAACUGGGAUGAAGUCGUAACAAGGUAGCCGUA